RNAcentral lists this ribosomal RNA (158 nucleotides) under Nephila pilipes (giant wood spider). RNAcentral's name for it is "5.8S ribosomal RNA". It matches the Rfam family "5.8S ribosomal RNA". Rfam says of the family: 5.8S ribosomal RNA (5.8S rRNA) is a component of the large subunit of the eukaryotic ribosome. It is transcribed by RNA polymerase I as part of the 45S precursor that also contains 18S and 28S rRNA. The record is from RNAcentral. Lineage: Eukaryota; Metazoa; Arthropoda; Arachnida; Araneae; Nephilidae.
AACUCUGAGCAGUGGAUCACUCGGCUCACGGGUCGAUGAAGAACGCAGCUUGCUGCGAUAAUUGGUGUGAAUUGCAGGACACAUUGAACACCGAACUUUCGAACGCGCAUAGCGGCCUCCGGUCUUCCGGGACUGGAGGCCUCGCCUGUUUGAGGGUC